This 541-nucleotide long non-coding RNA is filed under the name Danio rerio (zebrafish). Its description in RNAcentral is "si:dkey-12m15.4 (ENSDARG00000102292.2)". Lineage: Eukaryota; Metazoa; Chordata; Actinopteri; Cypriniformes; Danionidae. The record is from RNAcentral.
AGAUCUUUUGAAGCCCAUCGGGUUCUUCAAUAAAUGUGGUAAGUUUCCCACAAAAGGCAGAGGUGUUGGACCAGGUGGAAAUCGACCUUUGUAUGAAUAAAUCCUGAAGAUCUCAAACAGAACCAGAAAAAUUAAGCCCAGGAACAGAGUCAAGCCCACAGAGGCCAAGUCUAACUUCAGGAGAGCCGUAAACAUGAUGACCAGUUCAGUUCAGGACAAAACACAACAGCAGUAUAGAAUCAGGAGCUUUAUAACAGCAGAAGAGGGAGGAGACAGAGAGAGAUUGACCUGCUGUUAACGCCUUUCAGUCCUGUCUUCAUCCUCUACCCAAACAGAGCCCCGCAUCUUAUGAAUAAAAUCUGUUGAUUUGCAAAAAAUUACCUAAAAGUACCUGAUUUGACAUGAUACUUACGAAAGUAGUUUGUUUGAUUCACACUGCCUGGAAAAUUAUUGGUGUAUCAGAGCUGAUGUCACUGCAGGAUAUGUAUGAACAGGACGCAUUAAGAUGUGCUAAACAAAUAGCUUGUGACGUAUCACAUUC